Molecule: long non-coding RNA, 454 nt
Organism: Bombina bombina (fire-bellied toad)
Lineage: Eukaryota; Metazoa; Chordata; Amphibia; Anura; Bombinatoridae
Exons: 3
Source: RefSeq, a predicted model, not a curated record
CUAGUACUAGGCCUAGUCUCAGUAGUAUAUUGUAUCCAGGUUUCUCAAACACCAACUCGUGGAAGCGCUGAGGAGGGAGUUUAGAUCGUCUGGAUCGCUGCAUUGUUCACAGAAAUGAAGAAUUACCCUGAACAAUAACAGAAAGAACUCGUCUGCACCGGAUUCCAGGAAGAAGAGGGCCAGGAAGCUGAUGAUCCCCACUUUUAAGAACCUUCUUUCACAAGGAUAGAAACAGCCAUGCCACCACCACAACAACCACCACCACCACCAGUCUUCAGGCAACCGAAGGAACAGUGUGCUCCCAGGCAUGAGCAUGGUUGGAUGGCUUCAAAUGAGGACCCAGGAGUGAUGCGACCGACAUUUCCAUAUGACCCCUGGCAACAUUCCUGGCCAGAGGAAUAUUCUCCCUUUGGUUUUGAGGGGGGCCAAGACAGGCACAAAGGUUCCAUGUAUU